AUGUGCUUCUCCCUCCCUUGCCCCGAAGACCCCUUCAACGAGCGCCAUGGCAAGAAGCACAAGACCGAAGACGCCACCGACACCAACGACGACCACAAGAAGAAAAGCAAGGGUUCCAAGAAGCAGGAGCGGGCCGGCGCGGGAGACUCCUCCACCGGCGCGGCGGUGCUGGGGGCGGUGGCGGCGAGGAGGGGGUGCCACGAGUGGGUGGUGGACCACUACAGCAACCCGCACAACGUGGGGGCGUUCGACAAGGACGACGCCGACGUCGGCACCGGCCUCGUCCACGCGCCCGCCUGCGGGGACAUCGUGAAGAUGCAGAUCCGCAUCGACCAGACCUUCGGCAGGAUCGUCAACGCCUGCUUCAAGACCUUUGGCUGCGGCUUCGCCAUCGCAUCCUCCUUCGUCGGUGAGCAAGCAUACCGCCCCCUCGGUUUCCUUCCUCCGCUAGCAGCUAGUCUUCUUUAUAUUUUUGUCACAUGUGCUUGUGUUCAUGUUCUUUAG
This 504-nucleotide ribosomal RNA is filed under the name Triticum aestivum (bread wheat). RNAcentral's name for it is "partial small subunit ribosomal RNA". The record is from RNAcentral. Lineage: Eukaryota; Viridiplantae; Streptophyta; Magnoliopsida; Poales; Poaceae.